This 228-nucleotide ribosomal RNA is filed under the name Triticum aestivum (bread wheat). RNAcentral's name for it is "partial small subunit ribosomal RNA". Lineage: Eukaryota; Viridiplantae; Streptophyta; Magnoliopsida; Poales; Poaceae. The record is from RNAcentral.
AUGGAUCAGCCCGAUGGUUUUGUAGUACCUGGUCAAGAAAGAAAGGUGUGCAAGUUAUUAAAGUCUUUAUAUGGCCUUAAACAAGCUCCUAAGGAGUGGCAUGAGAAGUUCGAAAGAACAUUAACUCCUGCAGGCUUUGUAGUAAACGAUUUGGUGACAAGUGUGUGUACUAUCGCCAUGGUGGGGGCGAAGGAGUUAUUCUUUGUUUGUAUGUUGAUGACAUACUGA